UUACGAUGAUGGCAUUACCUGUUAAGAAAUUGUUGAAACUUUUAUAUCCUACAUUGAUUCGUGUAGACGAUUAUCUUUUAAAGCCUUUAGUCAAAGCUGAUGAGCUCAAAAACAUCAUAAGGAGGUUACCAUUGACAACGGAGAGCUUAGAUUCUAGAGGCCUUUAUAUAUUUGAUGAUGGUUUUCACUUUGUAUUAUGGUUUGGUAGAAUGCUUUCACCUGA
Molecule: unclassified non-coding RNA, 223 nt
Filed under: Hevea brasiliensis (rubber tree)
Lineage: Eukaryota; Viridiplantae; Streptophyta; Magnoliopsida; Malpighiales; Euphorbiaceae
Source: RNAcentral